This is a long non-coding RNA of Gasterosteus aculeatus aculeatus (three-spined stickleback), 3367 nucleotides long. The record is from Ensembl. NCBI's taxonomy places the organism in Eukaryota, Metazoa, Chordata, Actinopteri, Perciformes, Gasterosteidae.
AGAUCAAAAAGUGAUGAUUUUGUUUGUUUAAUCCGAGCACAGACUGAAAGUUGUGGAUUUUUAAUGCCUUGACAUCUCUGUGACAUUUCAGUCAACUUAAGUAUUCCAACCUGAACCUUUUACGGAAAAGAGUCCGGUGUGAGAGUUUCCUCGGCCAGCUUUGAGUGGCCUGUGGAUGAACUCAUUCAGCGGUGAACUUGAUACUAAAGGUGAAAUGAAAGCGGGGGUCUCUCAUUGCCAAUCAUUGUAUUUCCUGCAUAGUGCAGUGGUUGUUGGUGAAGGACUUUGGGUUUAGGCCCGUCGGCUGUAUCAUAAGAUAUUUCCCAGAAGCCUAAAGCAUGACUUGAACCCAGCAGAUGUAUUUACUAAUGCAAACUAGCGUCUCUGAGAGCGGCACAGAAGGGGGUUGGGUUUGAAAAUUGUGGUCAUAAAAAAUGCAUGUGCUUCGAGAAAUCCAAGCGCGUCAUCUGGAUCAGAAAGAUCCUCGAUGCAUUACAGGCUGCCAGGCAAUCAUCACUGGCAGAACUCCACCCGUCAGCACCGGGGCGCCAUUAGCACGCCGGCAAACGAUAAACGACAACAACACCGGCGAUAACCACUACAGAAAUACCAGCGAAAACAACAAGAUAGGGAGGGGAACUGAGCUAAACCGUAUUAGAGGCACUAGUAGUACAAUUACACAUGUUUAGUGGUAGUUAUUGGAACCAAAGUCUUCAAACUUCAGCAUUCAUUUUACACUAUACACAAUAUCCAACAGAUCUGUAAUAUUAUUCCAUCCAUAUAUCCAACAGGAAUAACAACAUUCAAAUAAAAUGAUGAUUUUUCUCAUGACACGGUUAUUAUUUCUGAGCGCUAUAAGAAGGCUGCCAUCCUUUGGAAAGUACAAGCGAUUCAAUCCUCAACCAUAAAGACCUAAACUAGCCAAUCUGAGGCCGAGCAGGGCGUGUCCUUGUGGAAUGUGGGUGGGGACCAAACGUCUUAACGAAGCUGUGUACAUAACAGCCGCCAUGACCAGCUCAGUUUGAGGCAGGAGAACAGGCGAAGGAAGGGACACGUGUCUCUUCCCGUCAUGGAGUCCUAAUGAGACCGUAUAGAGCCUUCGGAUCUAUUAAAUGAAAAGCAGACCAUUAACCCCUCCCCUUGAUGAAGUCUAAAAGAAUAGAAACAAGAGACCCCAUCAGCUCUCUUUGGAGCACUCUCUCCAUGUUAUCUGACUCCCAAAUGGAGACACACACACACACACGCAUUCACUUAUUUGGUAUAAUGUGUUCUCCUAUUCCUCAUUAUCUUGUAUGAGUGAUGGAAUGGAUCAAUGCAGGUCAUUGAUCUGCCGUUGCUGAUGCAUAGACUAAAAAGUUAGUAUAAUAGUAUUGAUAAAGUCAUACUGUGCACACAAACACACGCACACCCAGUAAUAAAACCUUACUGGAAUAGCACUGUUUCAGGCUCAACUAUCGCGCUGAUCAGUAGGCGUAUGGAUUUUGUCUGUUACAGUUGAAACUCGGCAGGAGUCAGUGCACGGCGGUUUGCAUGCAUUUUAAAGUUUAUACUGAACAUUUCCUGAAAGUUUUCUACAUUUUCAGGACUUUAGUCUUGAUGUAAUAAUCUGAUGUAUCAGCAUCUUGGAAAAGGAAUCUGUAGAUUUGAAGAUUUUUGACGCUGAUGUCCGAAGUCACUCAAAAUCCUUUUUUGCAGGUAUCACCUAAAUAGAAUUGGUAUAUUAUUCCUUCUGUCUAUUAAAUCAAAUCUCCUUUCCUUUUAUUCUCUGUUGCACCAGCAGAGAGCGCUAGAGGAGCAGAGCACAUCCAGACACGCUAACGGCCCCAUUCUGGAGGUGAGCGGCGUGUGCGGACAGCAUAACGCUGGGGAGGGAUUCAGCACAUCUGUACUCACUUCCACAAAGACACGUUGCUCACGUUGAGCCGGUAAAAUCACAUCAGGCUAAAAUAUAUGAACACAAAUAGAGGUGUGAAACUGUGCCGCUGUCCCUGGUGCUGAAAUGUCAAACUCCUGACAUUAACUUUGGCUGCACUGACAGAGGGGAAACCGUGACACCUGCCUGUUGGUGGUGGACGCACACACACACACACACUGAAGAAUUGUCUGUCUGAUCCCAUUGAGAGACAGCAGUCACGGAGUCACACUCACUAGCACGGGGUGAGUGUGACUUGCGGCUCGUUGUGUGUGCUGUGUCAUCUCUCCUGUUGUGACCACAAGUGCUCAAAUCCUCUGAUUAAUCCUCCCAAAAAAGUAGCCUUUAACGUGCUACUUUUGUGUGAUGUGUGAUGGUGCUUAAAGGAGAAAUCUACGUGAUUCAAAGCAUUCAUUCAGCGGCAAACAGCAUGGUGGAGCAGCACAAACCGGUCGCAGCCGGUAACAUCGGCGUUGCAACCGGUAAUAUCGCCGCCACAUCCGGUAACAUCGCCUUAGCAGCCGGUGACUCUUUCACCCGUGAACCUGUGCCCAUCCUUUCCCUCAGGACAAAGUGUAUUCUUUUAGCAGGAGAGUAGCUGGCUGUCAGCUGGCUUUUUGGCGUGCUGGCUCCCUAAACCCCUUACACAGUGACUCACAUACACACAUUUACACUCACGUGCACAUGCUCACACACACACACACACACACACAUACUCAUACUCAUCAACGUGCCAUGUUGCCACAUCUGUUCACAUGGAGUAGGAUUUUCAUUUACAUCUGGACUGGGUCAUUCCCAGCUUGUGUGUGUGUGUGUGUGUGUGUGUGUGUGUGUGUGUUAAGUGGAUGGGUUAGAAUCUCUGUGGACCUCGGGGUGAAUUGCAUGGAACCAUCCAGCAGCUGCUUUGUGGCUCGAUGCAGAGGGACAACGAGCUGAGGCUCCUUUUUGAAGACUGAAAAGGAUUCAUUUUCUUAGCCAAUUUAGGGUCUUGCGGAUUUUUCCAGUUUCCACCGAAUUUCUGAACAAUUGAGAACACCUUCAUCAAAAUCACGGAAAUUUACUUCACAGUUAGACGGACACUAAAACGAACUUGAAUAACCAUCUGCAAAGGCUAGCCGCAUGAGUGGUUCUUAGUGAUCAUCAAAGACUAAGAGUCAGCAGAGGGAAACUUGAGGCAGGGGUAGACGGGCCAAGUCAUGGCUCAUGCCGCGGCACACCUGAAGAAAGCCCGCGAGCUCGAGGCAAAUCCAGAAUACAGAGCUCUGCAGAAAGCGCGGGAGAGGAGGCGCCGGCACCGAGAGAGAGCCGAGCGGAGGCGGCAGGUAAAAGGCACACAACCCUCUGACGACAUCCUACUCAAUAGUCUGUGUUGUUUCUUUCCCCUUUUCAACCUUGCGUGCUCUUAGGAGUUAAGAUGACACGUUGUUGGUGGGCAUUGGGGCAUUGUGUGUGUGU